Molecule: long non-coding RNA, 205 nt
Filed under: Elaeis guineensis (African oil palm)
Lineage: Eukaryota; Viridiplantae; Streptophyta; Magnoliopsida; Arecales; Arecaceae
Description: long non-coding RNA (EGUI_LNC029245)
Source: RNAcentral
UUUCGGAUAUAUUGCUUGGUUCCGAACAGACGGCGAGCCUAAGAUAAUCUAAUAGCCUCGAUAGAUUUGGUAUCACCUUCAGUGUGCAUUGCUGUAGCCUACAUCAUUGCAAGGUGGUUUAUAUAUAGCGAUGAUGGGUGGAGACAAAUGUAUUUUGUUUACCUUGGUAACAUCAGGAAUUAUUAUGUGCAAGUUGAGAAUAACU